This is a long non-coding RNA of Ornithorhynchus anatinus (platypus), 855 nucleotides long. RefSeq lists it as uncharacterized. The transcript has 4 exons. NCBI's taxonomy places the organism in Eukaryota, Metazoa, Chordata, Mammalia, Monotremata, Ornithorhynchidae. The record is from RefSeq and is a predicted model, not a curated record.
ACGUGAGCAUGAGAUGGAGCAGGCUCCCCCUGGGCCCCGCGCGGAGGCGGAGAGUCCACCAGAGAUGAGGAGGCCGCACCCAGACGACUUUGAGAUUGGGCGUGGAGAGGCCGGGCCGAUGGCAGGAGGCCAAGAUUAAGGACAAAAACGACACUGAAAACGGGAGGAAGCUACGGGGCACCGUGACGAGCCCUCGACGGCAUGAAGCGGUAUGUGAGACUGACCACGUGGCUUAUAGGAUUCUGUGACGAGAGGGGCAUGAACGCACAGCAGUGGGAGCAGGAGAGCGGGCAAUCUCAAACGGGAUUUGGAUUUUUCUAAACGGGCUCCCUGAAUCACAUAAGAUGAAGAUGCACUUUAAAGGGAUACGGACAUUGCCUUGAGAUUAUGUAAGGCUAGGUGAAUAGCGAUGACUCAGAAGGAACUACGCUCUCCAUCAUUUCGGAAAAAUUUCUGGCUGUUGAAUAUAAUCAGGGUGCUGCGUGCAGUGAUUGGAAUGGACCCCCACCAGCCAGGAUGCCUCACCAGUCGCCCGACCCGUUGGAACGGACUGAAGCAGCAGAAUAAAUCCACAGAAGACGGCUACAUCAAGGUCGCAGAUCACUCUCUGAGGCAGGAAAAUAAAUUGCUGCUCCAGAGGCUAGAGAGCUAGACGGAAAGCCACUCACUUUGAUCCUGGAUGCUACAGAAAGGGCAGUGAGCGGAACAUGUUUCAAUUCAAUCGAAAGAUGCUUCCUCCGCCAGCACGUACAGUCCAGCCUCAAGCAGAGUGCUUAGAAAAGUCCUCUUACUCCAUCUAAACGGAGCCUGUGUAUCUCUGCAGCACUGAAAAAAAGGCCAAAGGGCAAAAACCUG